AGAGUUUGAUCAUGGCUCAGGAUGAACGCUAGCGGCAGGCCUAAUACAUGCAAGUCGAACGGUAAGUUGAAUAGCAAUAUUUGACCUAGAGUGACGUACGGGUGCGUAACACGUAUGCAACCUACCCUUUACAGGAGGAUGGCUCGGGGAAACUCGAAUUAACCCUCCAUAACAUAGUGCUGUGGCAUCACAGUAUUAUUAAAACUCAGGUGGUAAAGGAUGGGCAUGCGUCUGAUUAGUUAGUUGGCGGGGUAACGGCCCACCAAGACGAUGAUCAGUAGGGGAACUGAGAGGUUGAUCCCCCACACUGGCACUGAGAUACGGGCCAGACUCCUACGGGAGGCAGCAGUAGGGAAUAUUGGUCAAUGGAUGCAAGUCUGAACCAGCCAUGCCGCGUGCAGGAAGAAGGCCUUCUGGGUUGUAAACUGCUUUUGCCAGGGGAUAAAAUUUCCUUGCGAGGAAAAUUGAAGGUACCUGGGAAUA
Molecule: ribosomal RNA, 483 nt
Filed under: uncultured Aquiflexum sp.
Lineage: Bacteria; Pseudomonadati; Bacteroidota; Cytophagia; Cytophagales; Cyclobacteriaceae
Description: bacterial SSU rRNA
Rfam family: Bacterial small subunit ribosomal RNA
Source: RNAcentral